AGAAUUACUAGGACGUUCAUUACUUCACCUCUGUUUUCCUAAUUUCUUCUGAUCGUAGGGUCAUAUUUUGACAUCAGUCGCAUGUCUAGAUCCUAUCAUACCAAACAUUCCAUUUUCUUCGAAUGACAUUAUAUCCCCCAAAAGGAAGAAACAACUCAAGCAACCGUAAUUCAAAUGCAGCAUCUAAAGAGAUGUAUGCACUUUUCAUAUAUCCCACUUUGUAAAUCCAUACAACUCUAAUCAGAUUAAAUUCAAAAGAGCCAUCUUUCUAGAUAUAUCAGAGAGGUUUAUAUUCAAAUGAGUUAUCCUAUCAAAAAAGGUUUAAAUUCAAAUAAGUUUAUCCUUGUACGGUUAAGCAUCGGUACCCAGUAAAGCGAAUUAUACGGGGAUGCAUUCAAAUUCAUCAGAAACUAUCAACAUCUUGGACCUCAGACCGCAUCGGCUCAUCAAUUCCUUCGAGGAAGUUGCAGAUAGACAGCGCGUUUUUUUAGUAUCAUCACCGAUCCAAAUAAAUGAAGAAAAGUAGAAAAUAUAAUGGUUCAAAUCGAAACGAAAAGAAGCAAAAAAUGAAGGAAACUAAAAUAAAGCAAGAGAAUUAUAUAGAAAUAUCUCGUGAGCAUCUCAGAGUUGUGAAUCCCCAUGGGUUUUCUUCACUAACAAUCAAAGUGCAAGGAUAACAAUUCAGAUAAAGCUCAUCAUUGAUGCUCACUCUCGUCUCAUAUAACCAAAUAAAAAUUAAUAAUUUGUAGGAAAUGAAAAUAAUAAUAAUAAUAAUUGAGUACCGAUUGGAUCUCAGCAAGCUUAAUGUAUCCUUCAGCUCCAAUUUGGAAAUUUCAGAUAGAUAACGCAGUUUAUUCUCACAUCAUCGAUCCAUGGGAAAAUUAAAACAUAAACAGAAUUCAAAGAGCAAAAUAAGAUCCAGCGAAGAAAUCUUCAGGGCAUAAAGUAAUAAUAAUCGUACUUUUAUAUUCAUACUACUAAUAAUAUGAACGCUAAAUUGUCAGUUAUGACGAUUGAAGAACUUUCAGUGAUUAUGCACUGUGAUGAUUACAGAGAGUUUGGUGCUUGGAGUUAAAAAGGAGGCGAUGGUGAAACCCUAGUUCUCGUGACGAUAAACGACGUCGCUUCAGAAUAUUCAUU
RNAcentral lists this long non-coding RNA (1140 nucleotides) under Olea europaea subsp. europaea. Lineage: Eukaryota; Viridiplantae; Streptophyta; Magnoliopsida; Lamiales; Oleaceae. The record is from RNAcentral.